RNAcentral lists this ribosomal RNA (440 nucleotides) under uncultured bacterium. Its description in RNAcentral is "partial 16S ribosomal RNA". It matches the Rfam family "Bacterial small subunit ribosomal RNA", at positions 338 to 795 of the family's 1533-position model. The record is from RNAcentral.
CCUACGGGGGGCAGCAGUAGGGAAUAUUGCUCAAUGGGGGAAACCCUGAAGCAGCAACGCCGCGUGGAGGAUGAAGGUUUUCGGAUUGUAAACUCCUUUUGUUAGAGAAGAUAAUGACGGUAUCUAACGAAUAAGCACCGGCUAACUCCGUGCCAGCAGCCGCGGUAAUACGGAGGGUGCAAGCGUUACUCGGAAUCACUGGGCGUAAAGAGCGCGUCGGCGGGAUAGCAAGUCAGAUGUGAAAUCCUAUGGGUUAACCAUAGAACUGCAUUUGAAACUGUUAUUCUAGAGUAUGGGAGAGGUAGGUGGAAUUCUUGGUGUAGGGGUAAAAUCCGUAGAGAUCAAGCGGAAUACUCAUUGCGAAGGCGACCUGCUAGAACAUCACUGACGCUGAUGCGCGAAAGCGUGGGGAGCAAACAGGAUUAGAUACCCCUGUAGUC